This 274-nucleotide ribosomal RNA is filed under the name uncultured bacterium. RNAcentral's name for it is "partial 16S ribosomal RNA". It matches the Rfam family "Bacterial small subunit ribosomal RNA", at positions 523 to 796 of the family's 1533-position model. The record is from RNAcentral.
AUACGGAGGGUGCGAGCGUUAAUCGGAAUUACUGGGCGUAAAGAGUACGUAGGCGGUUGCUUAAGUCAGAUGUGAAAGCCCCGGGCUCAACCUGGGAACUGCAUUUGAAACUGAGUGACUAGAGUUUAAGAGAGGGGAGUAGAAUUCCGGGUGUAGCGGUGAAAUGCGUAGAGAUCCGGAGGAAUACCAGUGGCGAAGGCGGCUCCCUGGCUUAAAACUGACGCUGAGGUACGAAAGCGUGGGUAGCAAACAGGAUUAGAAACCCCAGUAGUCC